UGCCAGCAGCCGCGGUAACACGUAGGCGUCAAGCGUUAUCCGGAUUUAUUGGGCGUAAAGAGCUCGUAGGCGGUUCGGUAAGUCGGGUGUGAAAACUCUGGGCUCAACCCAGAGACGCCACUCGAUGCUGCUGUGACUAGAGUGCGGUAGGGGAGUGGGGAAUUCCUGGUGUAGCGGUGAAAUGCGCAGAUAUCAGGAGGAACACCAGUGGCGAAGGCGCCACUCUGGGCCGUAACUGACGCUGAGGAGCGAAAGCAUGGGUAGCAAACAGGAUUAGAUA
This 280-nucleotide ribosomal RNA is filed under the name uncultured bacterium. RNAcentral's name for it is "partial 16S ribosomal RNA". It matches the Rfam family "Bacterial small subunit ribosomal RNA", at positions 506 to 784 of the family's 1533-position model. The record is from RNAcentral.